GACGAACGCUGGCGGCGUGCUUAACACAUGCAAGUCGAACGGAAAGGCCCUGCUUUUGUGGGGUGCUCGAGUGGCGAACGGGUGAGUAACACGUGAGUAACCUGCCCUUGACUGUGGGAUAAUUUCAGGAAACUGGGGCUAAUACCGGAUAGGAGCUCCUGAUGCAUGGUGGGGGUUGGAAAGUUUCGGCGGUUGGGGAUGGACUCGCGGGUGAUCAGCUUGUUGGUGGGGUAGUGGCUUACCAAGGCUUUGACGGGUAGCCGGCCUGAGAGGGUGACCGGCCACAUUGGGACUGAGAUACGUCCCAGACUCCUACGGGAGGCAGCAGUGGGGAAUAUUGCACAAUGGGCGGAAGCCUGAUGCAGCAACGCCGCGUGCGGGAUGACGGCCUUCGGGUUGUAAACCGCUUUCGCCUGUGACGAAGCGUGAGUGACGGUAAUGGGUAAAUAAGCACCGGCUAACUACGUG
RNAcentral lists this ribosomal RNA (468 nucleotides) under uncultured bacterium. Its description in RNAcentral is "partial 16S ribosomal RNA". It matches the Rfam family "Bacterial small subunit ribosomal RNA", at positions 28 to 507 of the family's 1533-position model. The record is from RNAcentral.